Tupaia belangeri (northern tree shrew) is the source of this 104-nucleotide small nuclear RNA. The record is from Ensembl. Lineage: Eukaryota; Metazoa; Chordata; Mammalia; Scandentia; Tupaiidae.
GUGCUCGCUUUGGCAGCACAUAUACUAAAAUUGGAGCCAUACAGAGAUUAGUAUGGCCCCUGCACGAAGAUCACACGCAAAUUCAGGAAGCAUCCCAUAGUUUU